CUCAGUUACUGUUAUUAAGAAUUCUCCUCACAAUUUAACUGUUAAUAAAAUGCAAUGCUAAAAUACACUUCUACCAAAAAAGGAAGUCAGUUCAAAUUACAAAGAACCAGUGGGGGUUGGUAUAGAAAUACAAGAGUUUGAAACACAGGAACAGAUAGGUAUGUGGGUAGGCGGGGACAAUAGAGCAGGGGGAGUGCAAAUACCAGAUAUACCAGUUUUAGUUUGGGAGGAAGAGUGGGGGAGUGGCUACUCUAGCUCUGGAGGAUGAAUAAGGGGGUUGGUAAUCAAAUGCAAGGGGGGGAGGUGUCCAAACUAGGUGGAAUUAAGGCCUUAGUUCUGACCACCAUGUGGCUCCAUUGUUCCUCAUGACAGUUUAAUUCACCAAGGCAGUUUUUCAACAAUCGGUUUCCAACAGUCAAUAUAUGGAAAGUGAUCAUAAAAUUACGGCCUACUAGUUACAGCCACAUGUACACCCUGCACUAAAUUUAAGUCAAGACUGCCACAUGGAGGCCAUGCGGCCACCAGGACAGGCC
Molecule: non-coding RNA, 533 nt
Organism: Pelobates cultripes (western spadefoot toad)
Lineage: Eukaryota; Metazoa; Chordata; Amphibia; Anura; Pelobatidae
Source: the annotation of a GenBank genome assembly